GUUCUGUCGCCCAGGCUGGAGUGCAGUGGCGCGAUCUCAGCUCACUGCAAUCUCCGCCUCUCAGGUUCAUGCCAUUCUCCUGCCUCAGCCUCCCAAUGUAUCUGAGACUACAGGUGCCCGCGACCAUGCCUGGCUAAAUUUUUGUAUUUUUUUUUUCAGUAGAGACGGGGUUUCACUGUGUUAGCCAAGAUGGUCUUGAUCUCUUGACCUCGUAAUCUGCCUGCCUUGGCCUCCCAAAGUGCUGGGAUUACAGACGUGAGCCACCAUGCCCGGCCCUAAUAGUGAUUUUCUAUUUCUCUCUUUCCUUUUUAACUUUUUAUUUGAACUAACUUCAGACUUGUACGUGAGUUGCAGAAAUAGUCCUAGAAGGGGUCUGGACAGGCAAAAUGGGGGCCUGAAGGGGGCAGAGAGAUUUCUGGCCAAGGAAGUUAUGGUUACCAGGCAUAGCAGUAUAUGGGGCAGAGGCUGCAGCAGGAGCCGGGCGUGGCAGUAGAUGGGGCAGAGGCUGCAGCAGAACUGUGCAGGAGGGAAGUCACUCACUCUUCACUCUCACGGGCUUCCCCUGGCUGCUCAGUAGGGUCCUUUGGAAGCUGCUGAAAACUGCAAAUGCUUAGCCCACCCAGGCUCCGUGUGACACAGCCAGGAGUGAGCUCCACAGCUCUGUGUGGUGGACAUCCAGCCUCCCUACCCUGGGAAAGCUGAAAUGCAAAGAAACACGUGUUUUAGUAGCUAAUUAUUGGCCUUUGAGCUUCCAAAACCCCACAUUCCGGCAAUCUGUAGAGCUCUUCAGGCCAGGCGCAUUGGCUCAUGCCUGUAAUCCCAGCACUUUG
Molecule: long non-coding RNA, 830 nt
Filed under: Homo sapiens (human)
Lineage: Eukaryota; Metazoa; Chordata; Mammalia; Primates; Hominidae
Description: HSALNT0170620
Source: RNAcentral